AAGGCUGAAGGCUGGUGAGUGGUGACCUGAGUGAGAGGCCUGGGUGACAUCUGACCUCUAACUGGGUGUGCGGCUGACCCUGGAGGAUACGGCUCAACAAUGGGAGGCACGUGCCGUGGCCUUGUCACCACGGCAACACAGGACCUUUAGGAACGCUGUUUAAAUGUACUGUAUCUGUUCGACCUGGACUUUUAUAACAAAGUGUGAAGGAUCACCUGCUUUGACUUCAAUAACAUUUCUGUGGAGACUUUCUCACACCUAGAGGGGCACCCAGGGGGGGACACACCCACCUCGGCCUCGCCUCUGUGAUUUGCACGACUGUCGCAUUUGGUUCCAAUGAGGAAUAGGACCAAGGGGAAUGUUCUCUCAUCCUCUCUUUCAUCAGUCUUGGAUAAAAUCUUCUAUUAAUCUCUAUAAACUGUUUCAAAACGGCUUUGAUUAAUCAAGUACUUUAUCUCAAUGGCUCUGCCUUUUUCGUGCAUCUGUUGAAAAGCUUGCCAAGUAAAAUAAACGUUUACUGAAGA
Long non-coding RNA from Centropristis striata (black sea bass), 524 nucleotides. RefSeq lists it as uncharacterized. Lineage: Eukaryota; Metazoa; Chordata; Actinopteri; Perciformes; Serranidae. The transcript is spliced from 2 exons. The record is from RefSeq and is a predicted model, not a curated record.